This is a long non-coding RNA of Formica exsecta, 328 nucleotides long. RefSeq lists it as uncharacterized. The transcript is spliced from 2 exons. The record is from RefSeq and is a predicted model, not a curated record. Lineage: Eukaryota; Metazoa; Arthropoda; Insecta; Hymenoptera; Formicidae.
UCACAUCGUCUCAUCGUCUCAUCGUCACUCGCGUUGUGGCGCUGACAGAGUGCAGACGAUCGUUCCUGUUUCAUCGGUCAGUGCCGGCAGGUGGUGGGUGUGUACGGAUCCUUCGAUUCCUUCCGAUCUCGAUCCAAAAAGACGUAAAGCGAACGCCCGAAUUCUCUCACUAGUAAACAUCAGUCAUGGGAGGAUAUGCAUGGGUUACAUUGGCUACAAACGAUGCCUAUUCUUUGGGAGCAUUGGUCCUGGCGCACUCCCUACGUCGGGUCGGCACCAAGUACGAGCUGGCUUGUCUGGUCACUCCCGGAGUUACGGCAACGAUGAG